GGGUAUCACCGCUGGGAAAGGUAUCGGGAAAGCCCGGGCGCGCAGCUUUCCCCUCAGCGGGCGAGGAGGAGCCGUCGGACGCGGGCCGGGCCUCACUCGUCCAGGCUCUGAAGGCAUCAAGUGCCCACGCUAAAUGGCAAUCAAUUUAUCGUCCUAAAGACUUGGAAGGAUAGCCACUGCAGUAUAAAACGUUUCUCCUAUUGCUGUUUUUUUUUUUUUUCGUAAGAACGUGCAGGCUUACAGUCGUUAGAUUAAUUGGUCUUCAAACAAGCAUUUCUCUGAAGAGAGCCUUCAGUAAAGCUCUCUCAGCCUUAUUUGGGGCUCCUCUGCAGAGGGAGGCUUAUGCUGCAUAAUCCAAGGCUGCAGCUCAGCUGAAGUCACAUCAACAACAAGGGCAAAGGAAAAGCAGCACUGCUGGGCAGCCUCUCCUAAACACCAAAUAAGAAAAGAACAACAUACAAAGGCUGCAGCUACGGAUGCCCUCCAGGGAAAGGUAUCAACAUCAGCAUUCUUGCCAGCAACAGAACGCAUUGCUAGCCUGCAGCAUGUGAAGCUCCGUUGGAUGAUCCAGUGUAUGUAUUCUAGUUCAAAAAAAGUAUAUGCAUGAUUAAUGUAGUGUCUAGAUUAUCAGUGUAAGGGUUGUUUUCAUCAGAUGUUUGAUGCCAUUUGUUAAUUUUUAGUUGCUUUUGUUACAAAUUCAUUUCUC
This 706-nucleotide long non-coding RNA is filed under the name Gallus gallus (chicken). RNAcentral describes it as "long non-coding RNA NONGGAT002113". Lineage: Eukaryota; Metazoa; Chordata; Aves; Galliformes; Phasianidae. The record is from RNAcentral.